This 242-nucleotide ribosomal RNA is filed under the name uncultured bacterium. RNAcentral describes it as "partial 16S ribosomal RNA". It matches the Rfam family "Bacterial small subunit ribosomal RNA", at positions 535 to 776 of the family's 1533-position model. The record is from RNAcentral.
CUAGCGUUGCUCGGAAUUACUGGGCGUAAAGCGCCCGUAGGCGGCUUUUUAAGUCAGGGGUGAAAUCCUGGAGCUCAACUCCAGAACUGCCUUUGAUACUGAGAAGCUUGAGUCCGGGAGAGGUGAGUGGAACUGCGAGUGUAGAGGUGAAAUUCGUAGAUAUUCGCAAGAACACCAGUGGCGAAGGCGGCUCACUGGCCCGGUACUGACGCUGAGGUGCGAAAGCGUGGGGAGCAAACAGG